GGGGAUUUGGCUCAGUGGUAGAGCGCUUGCCUAGGAAGCGCAAGGUCCUGGGUUCGAUUCCCCAGCCCCG
Non-coding RNA from Rattus norvegicus (Norway rat), 70 nucleotides. Lineage: Eukaryota; Metazoa; Chordata; Mammalia; Rodentia; Muridae. The record is from Rfam.